Molecule: ribosomal RNA, 674 nt
Filed under: Staphylococcus aureus
Lineage: Bacteria; Bacillati; Bacillota; Bacilli; Caryophanales; Staphylococcaceae
Description: bacterial SSU rRNA
Rfam family: Bacterial small subunit ribosomal RNA
Source: RNAcentral
UUUAUGGAGAGUUUGAUCCUGGCUCAGGAUGAACGCUGGCGGCGUGCCUAAUACAUGCAAGUCGAGCGAACGGACGAGAAGCUUGCUUCUCUGAUGUUAGCGGCGGACGGGUGAGUAACACGUGGAUAACCUACCUAUAAGACUGGGAUAACUUCGGGAAACCGGAGCUAAUACCGGAUAAUAUUUUAAACCGCAUGGUUCAAAAGUGAAAGACGGUCUUGCUGUCACUUAUAGAUGGAUCCGCGCUGCAUUAGCUAGUUGGUAAGGUAACGGCUUACCAAGGCAACGAUGCAUAGCCGACCUGAGAGGGUGAUCGGCCACACUGGAACUGAGACACGGUCCAGACUCCUACGGGAGGCAGCAGUAGGGAAUCUUCCGCAAUGGGCGAAAGCCUGACGGAGCAACGCCGCGUGAGUGAUGAAGGUCUUCGGAUCGUAAAACUCUGUUAUUAGGGAAGAACAUAUGUGUAAGUAACUGUGCACAUCUUGACGGUACCUAAUCAGAAAGCCACGGCUAACUACGUGCCAGCAGCCGCGGUAAUACGUAGGUGGCAAGCGUUAUCCGGAAUUAUUGGGCGUAAAGCGCGCGUAGGCGGUUUUUUAAGUCUGAUGUGAAAGCCCACGGCUCAACCGUGGAGGGUCAUUGGAAACUGGAAAACUUGAGUGCAGAAGAGG